CUUAUAGUAAGUCGGAGGUUUACGGUAUUUAUUUAAAGAGUCUGAGUAAGGGACCAUGAUUGUAAAAAUACAUUGCGUCUUGUUCCGCAUUAGUUUAGGGGCAUUCAAAAUAUGCAUUGCCCACAUAACGCAAAAUUCCCAUUGGUUGAUAUUGACAUGCCUAUCAAUCAAAUCUGAUAUGUAGUAAUUAUGCUAUAAAUAAUUUCCAGGCUUGAUGUUGAUUUUAUAAAUAAAAAUGACAGGCUAAGGCUUAAAUGAGCAGUUUCUAUUGGGUAGAGUUAAUUG
This is a non-coding RNA of Paramuricea clavata, 285 nucleotides long. The record is from the annotation of a GenBank genome assembly. NCBI's taxonomy places the organism in Eukaryota, Metazoa, Cnidaria, Anthozoa, Malacalcyonacea, Plexauridae.